Molecule: ribosomal RNA, 304 nt
Filed under: Salmonella enterica
Lineage: Bacteria; Pseudomonadati; Pseudomonadota; Gammaproteobacteria; Enterobacterales; Enterobacteriaceae
Also listed under: 4 other names
Description: partial 23S ribosomal RNA
Rfam family: Bacterial large subunit ribosomal RNA
Source: RNAcentral
CUGUAAGCCUGUGAAGGUGGCCUGUGAGGGUUGCUGGAGGUAUCAGAAGUGCGAAUGCUGACAUAAGUAACGAUAAAGCGGGUGAAAAGCCCGCUCGCCGGAAGACCAAGGGUUCCUGUCCAACGUUAAUCGGGGCAGGGUGAGUCGACCCCUAAGGCGAGGCCGAAAGGCGUAGUCGAUGGGAAACGGGUUAAUAUUCCCGUACUUGGUGUUACUGCGAAGGGGGGACGGAGAAGGCUAUGUUGGCCGGGCGACGGUUGUCCCGGUUUAAGCGUGUAGGUGUGUGUUCCAGGUAAAUCCGGUU